Trichomycterus rosablanca is the source of this 696-nucleotide long non-coding RNA. RefSeq lists it as uncharacterized. The transcript is spliced from 2 exons. The record is from RefSeq and is a predicted model, not a curated record. Lineage: Eukaryota; Metazoa; Chordata; Actinopteri; Siluriformes; Trichomycteridae.
GACCCGCCUGGGGAUCGAACCCAGGACCUUCUUGCUGUGAGGCGACAGUGCUACCCACCGAGCCACCCCCAGUAUAAACGGGUUAAUGAACAUCAGUGGGUGUGGUUAAAACAUCAGAACUCAGUAACUAUAAGGGGCGUCCGGAUAUUUUUGAUCAGAGGUCGAUUAUGUCUCACCUUCUGUUCCUUGCAGCCGUUUCGGAGUGUUUGGAUGUGUCGGCGUGCUGGAGUGAGUGCUGGGUGCGAUGCCGUAUGAAUGGUCCCCCCGGGCAGCGCAAGCUUUUACCGGGCUUUCGUCUUCGGGCAGCUCCUCCGGGCACAGGUAUCAUGGCUGGGACAACGAAGACAAAAAGGACACGUGGUGAGACAGUAAGCAGGAGUAUCGGCCCCUCGCACACUUACAUCCACUGGAUAUGAUUUUUGGAUUUCUUGCGGAUGAGCUGGACCCCCUCCAGCACGUUGGUGAUGUCGUAGAUCCUCCUCUUCUGCACCUCCAGCACCUCGGUGGCCCAGUUCAGGUCCAGCACGCCGUCCGCCGACUCGCUCAGCAGGCCGACGAACUUCUUGGUGAGCAGGCCGAGGGAGGUGUCGUAGCGCGUCCGCUCGCCUGGGGACUUCGGAGCUGUGGGGUAGUGAAGAACAAAUUAAAGCCUUAUGAUCGUCUACUCUUAAUCAUUAAAGUUUUAUUUCCCUUUGA